AAUCUGGCUCAGGAUGAACGCUGGCGGCGUGCUUAACACAUGCAAGUCGAGGGGCAGCAUGGUCUUAGCUUGCUAAGGCCGAUGGCGACCGGCGCACGGGUGAGUAACGCGUAUCCAACCUGCCUUACACUCUUGGACAGCCUUCUGAAAGGGAGAUUAAUACAAGAUGUUAUCAUGAGUAAGCAUUUUCGCAUGAUUAAAGGUUUACCGGUGUAAGAUGGGGACGCGUUCCAUUAGA
This 238-nucleotide ribosomal RNA is filed under the name uncultured bacterium. RNAcentral describes it as "partial 16S ribosomal RNA". It matches the Rfam family "Bacterial small subunit ribosomal RNA", at positions 16 to 245 of the family's 1533-position model. The record is from RNAcentral.